GACGAACGCUGGCGGCGUGCUUAACACAUGCAAGUCGAACGGAAAGGCCCUGCUUUUGUGGGGUGCCCGAGUGGCGAACGGGUGAGUAACACGUGAGUAACCUGCUCUUGACUUUGGGAUAACUUCAGGAAACUGGGGCUAAUACCGGAUAGGAGCUCCUGCUGCAUGGUGGGGGUUGGAAAGUUUCGGCUGUCGGGGAUGGACUCGCGGCUUAUCAGCUUGCUGGUGGGGUAGUGGCUUACCAAGGCUUUGGCGGGUAGCCGGCAGGGGAGGGUGACCGGCCACCAUGGGACUAAGAGACGGCCCAGUCUCCUACGUGGGGCAGCAGUGGCAAAUAUUGCACAGUGGGAGGAAGCCUGAUGCAGCAACCCCGCGUGCGGGAUGACGGCCUUCGGGUUGUGAACAGCUUUCGCCUGUGACGAAGCGUGAGUGACGGUACUGAGUAAAGAAGCACCGGCUAACUACGUG
RNAcentral lists this ribosomal RNA (468 nucleotides) under uncultured bacterium. Its description in RNAcentral is "partial 16S ribosomal RNA". It matches the Rfam family "Bacterial small subunit ribosomal RNA", at positions 28 to 507 of the family's 1533-position model. The record is from RNAcentral.